Molecule: long non-coding RNA, 1171 nt
Filed under: Brassica napus (rape)
Lineage: Eukaryota; Viridiplantae; Streptophyta; Magnoliopsida; Brassicales; Brassicaceae
Description: long non-coding RNA (BNAP_LNC026415)
Source: RNAcentral
CAGGAGACAAAUGUUUAUAAUCUUUUUCUUUAAUUAAACGCCUUUUAAUCUAGCUAGUUGUUAUUCUAAAAUAUUAUUUGUUCAUGUAGAAGUGGACUAUUGUACUUUAUGAUUAUGAUGAUUUAAUUAUCGACCAGAAAUACGUAAUCAAUGUUUGGGUUAAAGUAAAGAACAUGUCUCCUUUGAACUUGAAACCAUAGAACGAAGGGAAUCAGAGGAAGAGACAGGACUGGUAAUUGAACGUAUUCUUGUGAAAGCAAUUCUUAUUUUUUCCCAACUAAAUAUUACAGAUUUUGUAUACUCUCCUAUUAGUUUUUGAUAAACAGAGUAAAAACAAAAUAAAAAAGAGAACUGUGGCAAUGAAACUGCACGUGUAGUGAAUAUGAAUCGCUGGAUCAUGUCGCUUUGUAUUUGUGUGGCCACUGCGGUAGGACCGUGCGUUUGGCAUUUUUCUUAGAUCAGAUUCAAGUCUCAUUUCCCAAAGUACGCAUAGGUUGCUGCUAUAAAGAGAGUAUAGUGUGAGAUUAGAUCAUCCGUCGUAGUCACUCGGAUCUUUUGUUAGACACUGCGAUUGGAAUUUACUAUAAUAAGUUUUGUUUUUUAUAUAUUCAAAUAAAUUUUCCAGUAAAUUUUUAUUCUGCAUAGAAUGAAGUUAUCCAACAAUCAUCGAACAAAGAACAAAAUUGUAUAAGUAUUUAAUUUACAAAAAAAAUAGAAAUGUUUUAUUGAUGAACAUUAAAAUUGCUAAUAGAUUUUGAACAAGAAUUAGGUUCACCCCCGAGGUGAACCUUUAAAUUCACCUCUCCUCUUAUUAUCAAUCAAAAUGCCACGUAAAUUAAUAAUAAAAUAGAUUAAUUUUAUUUAAAAAAAUCUGAAAUAAUUGAAAAAAAUAAUAACGUCAAUUUUAAUGAUGCUAACGCCACUAACUAAACCCUAAAUUUUAAAUCUAUACCCUAAACCCUAAACCCAAAUCCUAAACCCUAAACCCAAACCGUAAACCUUAAACUCGAACCCUAUAUCCUAAACCCAAAUCCUAAACCCUAAACCCAAACCGUAAACCUUAAACUCGAACCCUAUAUCCUAAACCCAAAUCCUAAACCCUAAACCCAAACCGUAAACCCUAAACCCAAACCCUAUAUCCUAAACCCAAAUCAUAGACUCUAAACUCAAA